RNAcentral lists this ribosomal RNA (253 nucleotides) under uncultured bacterium. Its description in RNAcentral is "partial 16S ribosomal RNA". It matches the Rfam family "Bacterial small subunit ribosomal RNA", at positions 524 to 776 of the family's 1533-position model. The record is from RNAcentral.
UACGUAGGUGGCAAGCGUUGUCCGGAUUUAUUGGGUUUAAAGGGUGCGUAGGCGGUCCUAUAAGUCAGUUGUGAAAUACGGCAGCUUAACUGUCGAGGUGCAAUUGAUACUGCAGGACUUGAGUACAGACGAGGUAGGCGGAAUUGACGGUGUAGCGGUGAAAUGCUUAGAUAUCGUCAAGAACACCGAUAGCGAAGGCAGCUUACUAGACUGUAACUGACGCUGAUGCACGAAAGUGUGGGGAGCAAACAGG